This is a non-coding RNA of Glossina morsitans morsitans, 113 nucleotides long. NCBI's taxonomy places the organism in Eukaryota, Metazoa, Arthropoda, Insecta, Diptera, Glossinidae. The record is from Rfam.
GUAGAUGUAGUAUGUAGGGGGGUAGUUUUUAGUACGUAAGCGCCAUGGAUGGCGAACCGUGCAUAAUUCUAUUAAGAACCAGCAGUAUCUUUUGAAGAUUUUCUACCUCCUGC